Transfer RNA from Camelus ferus (Wild Bactrian camel), 72 nucleotides. It matches the Rfam family "tRNA". From Rfam's summary of the family: Transfer RNA (tRNA) molecules are approximately 80 nucleotides in length. Their secondary structure includes four short double-helical elements and three loops (D, anti-codon, and T loops). NCBI's taxonomy places the organism in Eukaryota, Metazoa, Chordata, Mammalia, Artiodactyla, Camelidae. The record is from Rfam.
GAGGGUAUAGCUCAUUAGCAGAGUGCAUGCCUAGCAUGCACAAGGUCCUGGGUUCAAUCUCUAGUACCUCCA